Molecule: long non-coding RNA, 82 nt
Organism: Sinocyclocheilus grahami
Lineage: Eukaryota; Metazoa; Chordata; Actinopteri; Cypriniformes; Cyprinidae
Exons: 3
Source: RefSeq, a predicted model, not a curated record
CUGGAGAUGGUGUGGUUUACUUUUAUCAGCUUUUGGACUCUCAUUCUGACAGCACCGUUUCACUGCAGAGGGUCUAUUGGUG